GAAUGCUGACAUAAGUAACGAUAAAGCGGGUGAAAAGCCCGCUCGCCGGAAGACCAAGGGUUCCUGUCCAACGUUAAUCGGGGCAGGGUGAGUCGACCCCUAAGGCGAGGCCGAAAGGCGUAGUCGAUGGGAAACGGGUUAAUAUUCCCGUACUUGGUGUUACUGCGAAGGGGGGACGGAGAAGGCUAUGUUGGCCGGGCGACGGUUGUCCCGGUUUAAGCGUGUAGGCUGGUUUUCCAGGCAAAUCCGGAAAAUCAAGGCUGAGGCGUGAUGACGAGGCACUACGGUGCUGAAGCAACAAAUGCCCUGCUUCCAGGAAAAGCCUCUAAGCAUCAGGUAACAUCAAAUCGUACCCCAAACCGACACAGGUGGUCAGGUAGAGAAUACCAAGGCGCUUGAGAGAACUCGGGUGAAGGAACUAGGCAAAAUGGUGCCGUAACUUCGGGAGAAGGCACGCUGACACGUAGGUGAAGUGAUUUACUCAUGGAGCUGAAGUCAGUCGAAGAUACCAGCUGGCUGCAACUGUUUAUUAAAAACACAGCACUGUGCAAACACGAAAGUGGACGUAUACGGUGUGACGCCUGCCCGGUGCCGGAAGGUUAAUUGAUGGGGUCAGCGCAAGCGAAGCUCCUGAUCGAAGCCCCGGUAAACGGCGGCCGUAACUAUAACGGUCCUAAGGUAGCGAAAUUCCUUGUCGGGUAAGUUCCGACCUGCACGAAUGGCGUAAUGAUGGCCAGGCUGUCUCCACCCGAGACUCAGUGAAAUUGAACUCGCUGUGAAGAUGCAGUGUACCCGCGGCAAGACGGAAAGACCCCGUGAACCUUUACUAUAGCUUGACACUGAACAUUGAGCCUUGAUGUGUAGGAUAGGUGGGAGGCUUUGAAGUGUGGACGCCAGUCUGCAUGGAGCCGACCUUGAAAUACCACCCUUUAAUGUUUGAUGUUCUAACGUGGACCCGUUACCCGGGUUGCGGACAGUGUCUGGUGGGUAGUUUGACUGGGGCGGUCUCCUCCUAAAGAGUAACGGAGGAGCACGAAGGUUGGCUAAUCCUGGUCGGACAUCAGGAGGUUAGUGCAAUGGCAUAAGCCAGCUUGACUGCGAGCGUGACGGCGCGAGCAGGUGCGAAAGCAGGUCAUAGUGAUCCGGUGGUUCUGAAUGGAAGGGCCAUCGCUCAACGGAUAAAAGGUACUCCGGGGAUAACAGGCUGAUACCGCCCAAGAGUUCAUAUCGACGGCGGUGUUUGGCACCUCGAUGUCGGCUCAUCACAUCCUGGGGCUGAAGUAGGUCCCAAGGGUAUGGCUGUUCGCCAUUUAAAGUGGUACGCGAGCUGGGUUUAGAACGUCGUGAGACAGUUCGGUCCCUAUCUGCCGUGGGCGCUGGAGAACUGAGGGGGGCUGCUCCUAGUACGAGAGGACCGGAGUGGACGCAUCACUGGUGUUCGGGUUGUCAUGCCAAUGGCACUGCCCGGUAGCUAAAUGCGGAAGAGAUAAGUGCUGAAAGCAUCUAAGCACGAAACUUGCCCCGAGAUGAGUUCUCCCUGAGACUUAGAGUCUCCUGAAGGAACGUUGAAGACGACGACGUUGAUAGGCCGGGUGUGUAAGCGCAGCGAUGCGUUGAGCUAACCGGUACUAAUGAACCGUGAGGCUUAACCUU
RNAcentral lists this ribosomal RNA (1653 nucleotides) under Salmonella enterica. Its description in RNAcentral is "partial 23S ribosomal RNA". It matches the Rfam family "Bacterial large subunit ribosomal RNA", at positions 1292 to 2925 of the family's 2925-position model. The record is from RNAcentral. Lineage: Bacteria; Pseudomonadati; Pseudomonadota; Gammaproteobacteria; Enterobacterales; Enterobacteriaceae. RNAcentral also lists the same sequence under 1 other name.